GACGAACGCUGGCGGCGUGCCUAAUACAUGCAAGUUGAGCGCUGAAGGUUGGUACUUGUACCAACUGGAUGAGCAGCGAACGGGUGAGUAACGCGUGGGGAAUCUGCCUUUGAGCGGGGGACAACAUUUGGAAACGAAUGCUAAUACCGCAUAAAAACUUUAAACACAAGUUUUAAGUUUGAAAGAUGCAAUUGCAUCACUCAAAGAUGAUCCCGCGUUGUAUUAGCUAGUUGGUGAGGUAAAGGCUCACCAAGGCGAUGAUACAUAGCCGACCUGAGAGGGUGAUCGGCCACAUUAGGACUGAGACGCGGCCCAAACUCCUACGGGAGGCAGCAGUAGGGAAUCUUCGGCAAUGGACGAAAGUCUGACCGAGCAACGCCGCGUGAGUGAAGAAGGUUUUCGGAUCGUAAAACUCUGUUGGUAGAGAAGAACGUUGGUGAGAGUGGAAAGCUCAUCAAGUGACGGUAACUACCCAGAAAGGGACGGCUAACUACGUG
RNAcentral lists this ribosomal RNA (497 nucleotides) under uncultured bacterium. RNAcentral's name for it is "partial 16S ribosomal RNA". It matches the Rfam family "Bacterial small subunit ribosomal RNA", at positions 28 to 507 of the family's 1533-position model. The record is from RNAcentral.